GUGGCAUUCUCUUUACAUUGGCAGUCAUAGUGGUUUCUCAGUAGUAGGCAUACAUGCAGAAUCUUCAUUAAUCUCUCAUCUUUUCCCCCCACUCCUAUUCAUUUAUCAUAUUGUUACAGUAAAACAAUAGGCAAAUGAAUUAUACCCAAUUUUUAGCACACUGAGAAGUUAAAAGUUAAAUACAACUUGUGUGUGUGAUUGCACAAAGCACUUAUUUGACCUUGCUAAGCUUUAAAAGGCAUUCUAAGAUUAGCCUGGCAUGUAUUUCAAGUGUACAAAAAAUACAGAAUUGGGUCUUAAAAUGCUAGUACAGAUGUUUCAUGCCUAAACCCUCAUUAUGUUCAGUGUAUUUAUAGGAGGUAACUCAAAUUUAAAGUGGAUAAAGGCAACUAAAUCCUCCUUUUGUGGAAAAAGUAGUGCACGUAUUCUGACGCUACUCGUCAAGCUACAACCUUCAAUAAAUCACAUUUUGCAUAGGAAUGAACAAAAACUGUGCUUGUGUUUCCAUGCACCAUUUUUUGUCAGAACAAGCUGUACAACACUGCAGCAAUGCCAGUUUACAGUUAAGCAAAUAUUUGGAGCUCGGAGAGGGGAACAAGCAGAAAAAGGUGAAGGGGAGAAAAACGCUCAGCCCUUCCACCCCUUUCAGUUCUGGGAGCCCCAGAAGCACAGGGUAACAACACUUUCAUCCUCCAGCUCAGUUUUGCAUUUCCUUCAUUUGUUAUGUCUCACUUUAAUGCUCUGCCUUCAUUCUCUUAUUCAAACACAGAGGAAAGCCUAUUACAUGAAAGCAAAUAGAUAGACUAAGGGCAGAACAAACUGCCAUACUUCCAGCAAUACAUUAGCAAAACAAAAAAAGGAUGUUUUAUUCUGUGCAUUAUUUCCUGUUGUUGCAGAACACCACACUUUGAGAUCUGAUGUACCAGGCUGUACCAUUAGCCCUACAAGGAAGAAAAUGCUAAGAGUUGCUUGUGUGUAACUAUUUGUGAAAGAGACAGUAUCUUAAGGAGCUGAAAAAUCAUAUUUCUCUUGGUAUAUUUAAGAAGUUUCAGAGUCAGCAAAUUUGAUAUUGUACUUGAGAUAUAAGUAAAUUAUUUCAUUAAUUCUGCUCUACCAUGCUGAGAACUCCAGCACUGUGCUUCAGCCCCAGGUGACAGAGGUAUAUCAUGUCUUAUGUGUCUUUCGAGCUGUGGGAUUUUUGAUAUCAAUGAUCCACUAGAGAAAAAAGAAUAUCCAACAGGAAACCAUAAGGGGCACCAGGCAGGUGCAUGCAUAUCAGAAACCAUAGUUCUUUUCUCAAAUUCUUGCUACUAUUUAAGGAUAUCACUAGCUAAUAUUUUUAUUUCCAUGUAAGAAUUCACUUUUCUUGAAUAAAUCUAUUUCCACCUCUAUAGCCUUUUUGAUU
RNAcentral lists this long non-coding RNA (1405 nucleotides) under Chrysolophus pictus (golden pheasant). RNAcentral describes it as "lncRNA (ENSCPIG00010008174.1)". The record is from RNAcentral. Lineage: Eukaryota; Metazoa; Chordata; Aves; Galliformes; Phasianidae.